GGUGUGACUGCGUACCUUUUGUAUAAUGGGUCAGCGACUUAUAUUCUGUAGCAAGGUUAACCGUAUAGGGGAGCCGAAGGGAAACCGAGUCUUAACUGGGCGUUAAGUUGCAGGGUAUAGACCCGAAACCCGGUGAUCUAGCCAUGGGCAGGUUGAAGGUUGGGUAACACUAACUGGAGGACCGAACCGACUAAUGUUGAAAAAUUAGCGGAUGACUUGUGGCUGGGGGUGAAAGGCCAAUCAAACCGGGAGAUAGCUGGUUCUCCCCGAAAGCUAUUUAGGUAGCGCCUCGUGAACUCAUCUUCGGGGGUAGAGCACUGUUUCGGCUAGGGGGCCAUCCCGGCUUACCAACCCGAUGCAAACUACGAAUACCGAAGAAUGUUAUCACGGGAGACACACGGCGGGUGCUAACGUCCGUCGUGAAGAGGGAAACAACCCAGACCGCCAGCUAAGGUCCCAAAGUCAUGGUUAAGUGGGAAACGAUGUGGGAAGGCACAGACAGCCAGGAUGUUGGCUUAGAAGCAGCCAUCAUUUAAAGAAAGCGUAAUAGCUCACUGGUCGAGUCGGCCUGCGCGGAAGAUGUAACGGGGCUAAACCAUGCACCGAAGCUGCGGCAGCGACGCUUAUGCGUUGUUGGGUAGGGGAGCGUUCUGUAAGCCGUUGAAGGUGUGCUGUGAGGCAUGCUGGAGGUAUCAGAAGUGCGAAUGCUGACAUAAGUAACGAUAAAGCGGGUGAAAAGCCCGCUCGCCGGAAGACCAAGGGUUCCUGUCCAACGUUAAUCGGGGCAGGGUGAGUCGACCCCUAAGGCGAGGCCGAAAGGCGUAGUCGAUGGGAAACAGGUUAAUAUUCCUGUACUUGGUGUUACUGCGAAGGGGGGACGGAGAAGGCUAUGUUAGCCGGGCGACGGUUGUCCCGGUUUAAGCAUGUAGGCGGAGGUUCCAGGUAAAUCCGGUACCUUAUUAACGCUGAGGUGUGAUGACGAGGCACUACGGUGCUGAAGUAACAAAUGCCCUGCUUCCAGGAAAAGCCUCUAAGCAUCAGGUAACAUCAAAUCGUACCCCAAACCGACACAGGUGGUCAGGU
Molecule: ribosomal RNA, 1083 nt
Filed under: Enterobacter roggenkampii
Lineage: Bacteria; Pseudomonadati; Pseudomonadota; Gammaproteobacteria; Enterobacterales; Enterobacteriaceae
Description: partial 23S ribosomal RNA
Rfam family: Bacterial large subunit ribosomal RNA
Source: RNAcentral